CAAUAGCGUAUAUUAAAGUUGUUGCGGUUAAAAGCUCGUAGUUGGAUUUCUGCUGAGGACGAUCGGUCCGCCCUCUGGGUGAGCAUUGACUCGGCCUUGGCAUCUUCUUGGAGAACGCUACUGCACUUGACUGUGUGGUGCGGUAUCCAGGACUUUUACUUUGAGGAAAUUAGAGUGUUUCAAGCAGGCGCACGCCUUGAAUACAUUAGCAUGGAAUAAUAGGAUAGGACCUUGGUUCUAUUUUGUUGGUUUCGAACACCGGAGUAAUGAUUAAAAGGGGCAGUCAGGGGCACUCGUAUUCCGUCGAGAGAGGUGAAAUUCUCAGACCAAUGGAAGACGAACCACUGCGAAAGCAUUUGCCAGGGGAUGUUUUCACUGAUCAAGAACGAAAGUUAGGGGAUCGAAGACGAUUAGAUACCAU
This 421-nucleotide ribosomal RNA is filed under the name uncultured eukaryote. RNAcentral describes it as "bacterial SSU rRNA". It matches the Rfam family "Eukaryotic small subunit ribosomal RNA", at positions 592 to 1018 of the family's 1831-position model. The record is from RNAcentral.